RNAcentral lists this long non-coding RNA (727 nucleotides) under Marmota monax (woodchuck). The record is from RNAcentral. Lineage: Eukaryota; Metazoa; Chordata; Mammalia; Rodentia; Sciuridae.
AUCAGGCGUCACUCAGGCGUGGGGUAGCCCAGAGCCUAAAGCCAGGUGGACCAGACUUCAAAGCCCACACCCACACCUUUCCCUCCUGGCUAUGGCUGCAGCUGGGUCAACAGCCACCUUGCCUCUGCUUCCCAGGAGGGGAGAGCCACACAUCCUUCCAGACCCCUGCCCAACUCAGGAGAAGACAGAGGUCCAGCACCACCUGGUCCUGGUAGAGCAGGCCACAGCAGGGCCCAGGGGCAGGGGUGGAUGCCAGCACACCCUGUGCCUGGCUUUCCUCCCCUCUUGACCUCCCCUACUGGGUGUGGGUCCUGUGGGCCUCAGGAUGUCCCAGCUCAGCCUUGUCACCUGCUGUCUGGCCAGGUCUCAGCAAGUGGUUAGGAGGACUCUUGACUGCCCUUGCACUUGGGAGAGCCACCUGGCACAGGUCCACAGGAACCCACCCACCUAGCUGGCCCUAGGUGGUGAAGGCUUAGGACACCACAGUCCCAGCCAGCCACCAGCACUGUCCUUCCCCACCACACUUGGAUGAACAGGGUAGAGACAACAGGUCCCCUCUGCAGUUGAAAUGCAUUAAUUUUAGAGAGAUUUUCUUUUCUUGGUUUGCACCGGCCCCAGGGCGUCUCUGGGGCUUCACUUCUGCGGUGCAGCAGCACUCAUUAAAUACUGCCUCCUUGGCCAGACCAGCCUUUCCCAGCCCAGGCCCCCUCCUGGGCCCUGUCCGCUU